This is a long non-coding RNA of Podarcis raffonei (Aeolian wall lizard), 1302 nucleotides long. RefSeq lists it as uncharacterized. The transcript has 2 exons. Lineage: Eukaryota; Metazoa; Chordata; Lepidosauria; Squamata; Lacertidae. The record is from RefSeq and is a predicted model, not a curated record.
AAUUGCUUUAUUGAACUUUAAAAAAACAAAACACAAAAUCAUAGUUAUCCAUAAUAAAAAAAUAAACAACAAAAAAUAUCAAUAUCUGUUACACUUUAUCACAGUCUUCUUUUGGUUCCAGUGACAUCCCACCAAUUCCAUAUAGCUUUAACUAUGUAUUUAUCCACCGCACUAUUCAUCUCUGUUUAUAAUAAUUCCUUUUCAAAUAUAAUGUACUUUCUUUAACUUAUUCAGUGAAUUAUAGAAGCUAUUCAAAGGCUACCAUAGACUUCAUAUUAUUACAAUCAAUGCAAUUUUUAAAUAAACCCCAUUUAUUAAAAAAUACUUAAAGUGAUAUCCUGCUUGCAAAUAUAGAUUUUGCUUUUUCCUAUAAAUAUUGUGGUCUUCUCCUUUGCGUAAAGGAAACAUGCUCACCACUUUCUGUUGUUCCCAAAUAAAAGUAGUGCAGUUGUGCAUAGAAUUUUUCUAAUGGGCCAACAUGACUACCUUAAUUUUUUGCCUCAUGAGAAAUUUUGCACCUCUAGCAGAUAUAAACCACCAGAGCUUUUUACAGGAGGAAGAACGGUCCUCCUCUAAGGAGGAACCAAACAAUGCUUGUGCCAAAAGCCUGGGGAGAGCUUUUUAUAUUUCUCCUCCUAAAGUGCAUUAGGGGUCCACUUACUUUUAUGAACAUUUUUAUUGGCAGUGGUGAUAGGAAAAAAUAGUAGAGAGGAAAGAGGUCUUAUGCCAUGUAUCGUAUUUACUCGAAUCUAAUGCUCACCUUUUUUUGGCCAAAUUACAUUGCGAAAAUUAAGGUGUGCAUUUGAUUCGAUGGUGCUUUACACUCGAGUAAACACAGUAAAAAAAUUCCUCUGGCAGAUUUCCUGUGCCUUUUAAAGAUGAAGUUCAAGCGACUAAGCUUUUGCUUGUACAAAUUAGCACCCUCACUGUCUUUCAAGUCAUGUCUGAUGUUGCUGUACACACCAUUACCCUGGCGCUGCCACCCCAACUCCUAUUCAACAAAGCCGUCAUCUGCUCAUGUGCUGUCAUCUGUGUGAGUGGAACCGAUGUCUGAAAUAUACACAUCAUAGCUUAACCAUAGCUUAUGUUUUCAAAUUGGAUGGAAGCUGGUCUGAGGGAAAAUGCAUCAAGCAGCAAUAUUUCUCAAGAAACUACAGGGUACAUCUGGAUUGUGGAUAAUAUCAUGUGUACUCAGCUCUAAAAAGUGAGAGCACACUGGAGCUGAAGCAAACAGUAAUGUAUACAGAAUCUCAGUUUCCACAUUUGUUCCCUUAACUACUGCAAUAAAUCUAUUUUUAAAGA